This 610-nucleotide unclassified non-coding RNA is filed under the name Hevea brasiliensis (rubber tree). The record is from RNAcentral. Lineage: Eukaryota; Viridiplantae; Streptophyta; Magnoliopsida; Malpighiales; Euphorbiaceae.
UGAGAAUAUUAUCAAAUAUUGUCUAGAAGCAAGAGAGAAAAUAAGAAUGCAGCAAUAGAAAAAGAACGAAAUGAAAACUCAACAUAAAUCAUCACGAAAAUUAUGGAAGCAAAUUCCUAAGAACACCAUUAAGGUUUAGCAAAAUAUCUGCUUUCAUCCCUAUACAGUGUGAUCCUUGAAGUUUGCUACCUACUGCAUGCUUCAGUCCUUGAGGAACAAGAUCAAAUUUUUUACUAUACUACAGUCCCUAAAUUUAAAUUUGAUUAUUCUUUAAUAAAUAAAAUUAUAUUAAAUCAACUGAUGUUUAGUCCUUAAAUUGUAAUCUUACCUCAAAAUCUUACACUUACCAAGAGAAGCACAAGGACUGAAGUCUAAUUGUGCAGUACAAAUAAAAAAGUGUAUUAAGCUAAAUUUCUGUCAUUUACCCAAUUGUUAGGCUAAAUCUAAUUAGGUUUUGCUGUAAAAAAGUGUAUUAAACUUCUAUAAAUAUCUUAUACUUAUUUAUAGAACUUUUCAGAACUCACGACUCGAGAACAGAUAGCUUCCUGCCUGUUGUUGAUUUAUAAGGCCUUUGAUCUUGUACAGGCAGUAAAAAAUAAAUAAAUAAAUA